Bufo bufo (common toad) is the source of this 188-nucleotide long non-coding RNA. RefSeq lists it as uncharacterized. NCBI's taxonomy places the organism in Eukaryota, Metazoa, Chordata, Amphibia, Anura, Bufonidae. The record is from RefSeq and is a predicted model, not a curated record. The transcript has 3 exons.
GUCACAUGAUGCUUUUUUGCCUGCACACCGCUGUACAGCAAAUUAAAAAAAGUUGUAAAAUCCAGCUUCCCAUAUAAAAGAUGAUCUUUAUUUACUUGCGGUAAAAUCCAGACAUCAAACACUUGUACAGUCUACCCAUUUCGGACCUCUGUAUACCGGUCCUUCAUCAUGACAUGUAAAAGUGAAAA